RNAcentral lists this transfer RNA (66 nucleotides) under Parasarpa zulema. Its description in RNAcentral is "Sumalia zulema tRNA-Phe". The record is from RNAcentral. Lineage: Eukaryota; Metazoa; Arthropoda; Insecta; Lepidoptera; Nymphalidae.
AUUUAAAUAGCUUAAUUAGAGUUUAAUAUUGAAGAUAUUAAGGUGAUUGAAAAAAAUCUUUAAAUA